RNAcentral lists this long non-coding RNA (1013 nucleotides) under Physcomitrium patens. RNAcentral describes it as "long non-coding RNA (PPAT_LNC008386)". The record is from RNAcentral. Lineage: Eukaryota; Viridiplantae; Streptophyta; Bryopsida; Funariales; Funariaceae.
CCUGCUUUAUUCCUUGGAAAAUUCGUCAAAAGCUGGUUGUGCAAUUUGUGGCGAUCAUUGCUUUGUAUUUUUGUUUGGAAUCAUGUCCUGGAAGGAAACAUGUUAAUGGGUACUUCUUGUUGCUCUAUGAGCAGUAAUUACAUUGUAGGCCAACGAAUGAAAAAUGUCCGGCAUCUUUUGACGCCAAGCUUGCGUAAUGGUGUGCGCCACCUCCGCAACUAACAUCCCUGCCCCCCUCGGAAAUACCUGCAGUAAUAGAAUCAAGGAUGAAGAAGUGUAGUGUACACUUUCCCUGGCGCACUCAAACCGGUAAAUGUCUGGCCAUCAGAUCCCCACCGUUCUAACCUCACACUCCCACAAGUCCAAUCCUUACGAGAACAUAGUGUGCCUGGACAGUCUACUGUGAUCCUCCCAAGACAUCAGACAACAUUGUCAGACGAAACGACAGCAGCAACGCCAGUCAAUAAACCUCUGGCUGAUUCACUAAAAAAACGCACACCUCCUAGGAUGUCUACAGUUUAGUUCUACACCCCGCCCAUGCCAGCGUUGGAUACGCAUCUUCUCGUCAGAGCACACCUCGGUGACCUUCACUAAUGCCGACCCUCAAGGCCAAACAGAAUGCGAACUAAUAAUAAUAAUAACAAUGAUAACAUAAAUGAUAUUAAUAACAACCAAUAAAUCCUAAUCCUGUCCCCACAUGCCGAAACCCUGGCUCCAGAAUACGAGGAAGCAUUAUGCCGCGCACACACCCAAUUUCCGAAUUAAUAAAAACAUGCUCCAAACCAGAUGUUCGACGGCCAACAACGACCCAACUUGCUUUUCUUAGUCCCGAUCCAACCCCAUGCACUGUUGGUUAGGACUUUGGAUGGGUUUAAAAGCCUCGCAUGGGUCCCGUCACAUCUAGGUUUUGUUGCAAAAUGUAGAAAGAGAGCCGUUGCCCCUACCGCAGCAAUGGUGAUUUGGCCGAUUGCGGUCGGGGAUGUUGCCAGGGGGUGGGAGCUGCGACAGGAAAU